RNAcentral lists this ribosomal RNA (347 nucleotides) under uncultured eukaryote. RNAcentral describes it as "SSU rRNA". It matches the Rfam family "Eukaryotic small subunit ribosomal RNA", at positions 594 to 945 of the family's 1831-position model. The record is from RNAcentral.
AUAGCGUAUAUUAAAGUUGUUGCAGUUAAAAAGCUCGUAGUUGAACUUCAGGCUCGGUGGGGCGGUCCGCUUAACGGCGUGUACUGUCUUACUGGGUCUUACCUCUUGGUGAGCCGGCGUGCCCUUUAUUGGUGUGCGUCGGGGAACCAGGACUUUUACCUUGAGAAAAUUAGAGUGUUCAAAGCAGGCCUAUGCCCGAAUACAUUAGCAUGGAAUAAUAAAAUAGGACGUGCGGUUCUAUUUUGUUGGUUUCUAGAGUCGCCGUAAUGAUUAAUAGGGAUAGUUGGGGGCAUUGGUAUUGAGUCGCUAGAGGUGAAAUUCUUGGAUUGACUCAAGACCAACUACUG